This is a long non-coding RNA of Sphaeramia orbicularis (orbiculate cardinalfish), 506 nucleotides long. RefSeq lists it as uncharacterized. The record is from RefSeq and is a predicted model, not a curated record. Lineage: Eukaryota; Metazoa; Chordata; Actinopteri; Kurtiformes; Apogonidae. The transcript is spliced from 2 exons.
UAUGAGGCGUUCACUCACUCACCCACACAAUACACACAAUAUUUACAGAUGAUAACAGUUGUGUUUUGUCUUUAACCAGGUUUUGGUUCUGGUGGUGAACAUCUUAAACUCUGAGAUGGAUUUUGUUUCUGAUGGCAGAUAACCCUGCAUCUCCCUUUUUUCAGUCGCUAAUAUCUCCUCUUCCCUGGCGCAGCUGUAACUGUGGCUCUAGUCCAGUCAAGUUAAGCUGCGCAUUUAGCUGCAUUCAAGUGAAUGGAGUGUGCUGUGGAAAACUCAAACUCGGAGAUGUCAGUUGUUUACAUGAAGGCAGCGUUGACAACUCAGACUCAAUGGGCACACAGUGGGGAUUCCGUUGGGAUUUUCCCGGCUCGGCCUUGCUGGUUGUCAGCCAUUCCCACCCGCAGCCCAGACGUCUAUCCCUGGACUCUGUGCCUUCACAGAAUUAAUAUUAUCUCCGUGUUGUAUUUUUUUCACCUGUUAGUGUUUAAUAAAAAUACUCAACUUUA